ACCCUAGCCAUUGGUGCGCUCUCUCCCCAAUCCCCUCUCAUUUGGCCGCCUCCUCCGCUCCCAGCCGCCGCCUCCCCCGCUCCCAGCCGCCGCCUCCCCAUCUCCCGCUCCACGCCGUCGUCGGCGUCCUCUCCGGCGAGCCGUCGUCGUCCGCGUCCUCUCGCUCUGGGUCAUGAAGACCAAGGACGAGCGGUGAUCUAGGCAAGAAAAGGCGACUCUGCCUUGCAUGGCCGAGCUCGCCUGGUGGAGGAUCUUAGGGGAGCAGGAUGAGGGAGGUCGCGGCUGUGGCGGGAGGAGGACUAGGUGGCCGAGCUCGGCAGGGGAUAGGCUUCCACGGCCACCGUCGCCACCAGCGCCGCCAUAUCCUUCUCCUCCACUCAUGUGCUCCCUCGCCAUUUUCCUGCGUGCUCCUCUUCCUCCUCGUUCCCCUUCCCCUGCUCUCUCCUCCAGCAAUUCCCUUGCCUUUGCCGUCUCUCCUUCCUCUGGUCCAUCUCCUAUCGUUGCCAUAUCCGGCUGGGAGAGCAGCUCUGGCCUUGAGGUGGCACAGAAGAUUCGUGGAGGGGCCGUCCAUUCUCACUGCCCCUAGCCAAAUAAGGUGUUCAUUUCUUCUCCUCUUCCUCCUCCCCCUUCUGCUCAUAAUUUCCUCUCCCCAUCCAAUCCUUAAUGCUUGAUAUGAUUUGCUGCUGCAUACGUAAUGCUGAUUUGGUUUGUAUGCUGAAUCGAAUCCCCGCGAUUCCCAUCGCCUCCGCUUGAGCUGCACGUGCUCGUCGCUCUUCGCCGAGUCCGUCAGGAACUCCGGCGCGUGCACGCUGGGGGAUGGCUCCGGGCUCGCGUCUCCAUACUCACGCUGGGGAAAGGAUUUUCUGUGGAUGGAUACCAUGGAGAUGGGACUCCCAGCGGGGGCUCUGAGGCUGAGACUUUGCUUGGUUACCUGCUCGUAGCAGCAGCAAGUGGUGAAUUUUACUCUUAUUCAGGAUAAUGACAGGCUUAUGGAUAAAAUACUCCAUGGCAGGAGUAGAAGAAUUUUGAAACAGGACAGUGGGAAACUGUCUACAUGGUUGAAUGGCAUCACCAGUCACUCCAUGACUUUUGUGUUGCGCUUUGAUAUUUCAGUAUUUUCAAUAGUGGCAACAAACAGUGUUAAGUUUCAACGGCAAGUUCGAUUCACUUGGCAAAUAAGCAUCGAGUCAAAAUCUUUCAUGUAAGUCAUGCUGGGGAUGAUCGUCGGGACGUAUUUUUGUAAAUGGUCAGGCCAAUCCAUCGAAGAUGUGGUUCAAGACUUCAAGAACUUGGGACCAUAUCUGCUGACAUGGCUCCUAUUAUUGAUGCGUUUUCAGUUGACGAUGAUGAGCUUGACCUACACUUACAUAGGGUUUCUUUUCUAUACCUGAAGCUAUUGAGGAUAUUCGCCAAGGAAAAGUAUGUCCUUGUUCCAUGUUUACUAGAAUAUUUUGUGGUCAUUUGCUUUGUAAUCCUACCCGAUUUCGGUAUGUGAUAGUUGUGGAUGAUGAUGACAAGGAAAAAGAAGGAGAUCUUAUAAUGGCAGCAUCCGUCGAGCACGAAGGACGGAAGGAGAGGCGGAGCGUGGGGGCGGCGAGAGCUCAGCAAAGGCUCACACUCUAAUCUGAAAUUGAUGGCUUCAGCACCGAAUCAAUUUAUCAUACUUGCGUACAUGGCAAAAAAGCAAUUAUGCAGAUUUCGUCAUGAUUAUCUGCAGAUGUAACCUCUGAUUGCAAAUAAUACGACAUGAUGUCUGCAGUUGCUCAACGGUGAACGGUAUGCAUAUAACUACUGAGAUUUUCCCCAAGCAUAUGUGGUUUAUUAGUAUAAUUAAAUUCCAGGUGACCCUCAUGCUUAUCUAUUAAUAUUCUGAGAAACUUUGGAUGACAUUGUGUUUUGCUGUUGCUCACAGUGUGUAGUUUCAGUUUCUGAAAAGGGCAUGAAUGAGGUAGUCUAUGCUUUGGCAUGCUAAUUUGUCGGUGCACAAAUCUAGGCGUCGGUGAGUGUGUGUUUUGUAAGACUUGAUCCAGUUUCAUAAUGAAAUUGUGAGUCCUGGGGCUCCCUUCUCUUGGAAAAAAAAAAUCAAAUGCUUGCUGCCAUUUUUCCUCAACUAUUUUUGCUCACGAUUACUUCUUGGUAGCCUUUUCCAUUCUUUUCACCUGUUUCUCUUCUUUCAGAUUUAUAGGCCUUUUUAUAUGUGAAUUGAGCUGAUGCUAUGGCCUGUUCUUGAAAUUUGGAUGUUGAUACCUGGGACAUUUUUCUGUGUAUAAUUUUAAUAAUUUCAAACAUGAUUAAUUUUGCUUAGCUUCGUGAGUAUUUGCAGCUAUAUACAUCUCAUGGUUUCUCUUUCUCAUUUCAUCUUAGUUGUUCCAGUCUGGGUUAUAAUGGCAUAAGGUACUGGGCACUCAUUUUCCAGUGAAGUACAUUUCAGAUAUUCAGGCCUUAUGCUUUCCUGCGCUAUUUUGUGCCUCUGCAUUGUCGCGGCAUGAGGGACAACAGUGACAACAAUCAGUGCGUGUUGGGUCAGGGUUGGAGCGCGAUGAAGGGAUGUGGCGGGUGCCGGAGACAGGAGGUGGCCUACAUUGUUGUGCACGAGGGGCGCCAGUGACAACAAUCAGCUUCAGAAUUGAGUAGUCCGCAAGAAGGAACAACAGUGCUGACGAGCAAUCCAGGAGGUACUGUAAACUUUUGUUGUUUUGGAUCUUUUGAAAACGAAAUGAGAUGGAGGUGGAGCUGGCCAAGGUCGCAAAGAAGACCACCAAUGACCUGACGGACGUGCAGCUGUUCUUUAUGACCGUCGGCUUGAGGGUGACCAGCGACCUCACUAAACUAUUGCGCAGUUGGUCUUCCUCGCUCUGCCUCAAGUCCCUCGCCAGUAGGUAACACUGAGCCAUCACUUGCAGCAGACGCGGAAGCUGCACCACCCCUAAAGAAAAAAAAAGUGGGGAUUGGGCACAUGUAUGUGUUUACAGAAGAAAAGCAACUGAUUGUGUGCUACUCAUAACAUAUCAGAUAGGAUAGAUGAUGGCAUGAAGAUCAACGAGCAGCCAAUCGUGACGAACCUGUUGUUCAAUAUUGACGAGAAGCCGCACCCGGUGUUCACCUAGGAUGGCAAUGAACGAUGGUGAGGUAGAAGGUACCCCUCUAAGAUGCCCUAAUGGGGCACAUGAUGUUAUGACACUGCAUACCGGUUCCCAAUUCUAAUCUUUGUUUA
Molecule: long non-coding RNA, 3214 nt
Organism: Lolium perenne
Lineage: Eukaryota; Viridiplantae; Streptophyta; Magnoliopsida; Poales; Poaceae
Source: RefSeq, a predicted model, not a curated record